CCUACGGGGGGCAGCAGUGGGGAAUAUUGGACAAUGGGGGCAACCCUGAUCCAGCCAUGCCGCGUGUGUGAAGAAGGCCCUCGGGUUGUAAAGCACUUUCAGUGAGGAAGAACGCCUGGUGGUUAAUACCCAUCAGGAAAGACAUCACUCACAGAAGAAGCACCGGCUAACUCCGUGCCAGCAGCCGCGGUAAUACGGAGGGUGCGAGCGUUAAUCGGAAUUACUGGGCGUAAAGCGCGCGUAGGUGGCUUGAUAAGCCGGUUGUGAAAGCCCCGGGCUCAACCUGGGAACGGCAUCCGGAACUGUCAAGCUAGAGUGCAGGAGAGGAAGGUAGAAUUCCCGGUGUAGCGGUGAAAUGCGUAGAGAUCGGGAGGAAUACCAGUGGCGAAGGCGGCCUUCUGGACUGACACUGACACUGAGGUGCGAAAGUGUGGGUAGCAAACAGGAUUAGAUACCCGGGUAGUC
This 465-nucleotide ribosomal RNA is filed under the name Vreelandella stevensii. Its description in RNAcentral is "partial 16S ribosomal RNA". It matches the Rfam family "Bacterial small subunit ribosomal RNA", at positions 338 to 795 of the family's 1533-position model. Lineage: Bacteria; Pseudomonadati; Pseudomonadota; Gammaproteobacteria; Oceanospirillales; Halomonadaceae. The record is from RNAcentral.